Long non-coding RNA from Coccinella septempunctata (seven-spotted ladybird), 220 nucleotides. RefSeq lists it as uncharacterized. Lineage: Eukaryota; Metazoa; Arthropoda; Insecta; Coleoptera; Coccinellidae. The record is from RefSeq and is a predicted model, not a curated record. The transcript has 2 exons.
UCUGAAUUUUAAGAAAUUUGAUUUUAGAAUAUAUUGACUUUUAGUGCCUAACAAUUCUAUUCAUAUGGCUUUUCACCUGUUGUGAUAUAUGUUGCCUUCUGCUGACUACUUGUUGACUUGUUUUGAUGCUAGAAAUAGUUUUAACCUCGACUAUUCAAGUCCUGAAGAAGGCUCAGACAUGAGCCGAAACGUCGACGAUGAAUAAAUGAGUUUCACAUAA